Parcubacteria group bacterium is the source of this 74-nucleotide non-coding RNA. The record is from Rfam.
GCCCUCGUAGCUCAACUGGAUAGAGCGCCGGACUUCUAAUCCGGGGGUUACAGGUUCAAAUCCUGUCGAGGGUA